This 725-nucleotide ribosomal RNA is filed under the name uncultured Gammaproteobacteria bacterium. RNAcentral describes it as "bacterial SSU rRNA". It matches the Rfam family "Bacterial small subunit ribosomal RNA", at positions 74 to 793 of the family's 1533-position model. Lineage: Bacteria; Pseudomonadati; Pseudomonadota; Gammaproteobacteria. The record is from RNAcentral.
GUAUCUUCUAGAUAUGAGUAGAGCGGCGGACGGGUGAGUAACGCGUAGGAAUCUACCUAGUAGAAGGGGAUAGCCCGGGGAAACUCGGAUUAAUACCGUAUACCUCCUUCGGAAGAAAGAAGGCCUCUCUUUGAUGCUUUCGCUAUUAGAUGAGCCUGCGUAAGAUUAGCUUGUUGGUGAGGUAAAGGCUCACCAAGGCGACGAUCUUUAGCUGGUCUGAGAGGACGAUCAGCCACAUUGGGACUGAGACACGGCCCAGACUCCUACGGGAGGCAGCAGUGGGGAAUAUUGGACAAUGGGCGCAAGCCUGAUCCAGCCAUACCGCGUGUGUGAAGAAGGCCUUCGGGUUGUAAAGCACUUUAAGCAGGGAGAAAAAGUUAUAAGUUAAUACCUUAUAGCCGUGAUGUUACCUGCAGAAUAAGCACCGGCUAAUUCCGUGCCAGCAGCCGCGGUAAUACGGAAGGUGCAAGCGUUAAUCGGAAUUACUGGGCGUAAAGCGCGCGUAGGUGGUUUGUUAAGUUGGAUGUGAAAGCCCUGGGCUCAACCUAGGAACUGCAUCCAAAACUAACUCACUAGAGUACGAUAGAGGGAGGUAGAAUUCAUAGUGUAGCGGUGGAAUGCGUAGAUAUUAUGAAGAAUACCAGUGGCGAAGGCGGCCUCCUGGAUCUGUACUGACACUGAGGUGCGAAAGCGUGGGUAGCGAACAGGAUUAGAUACCCUGGUAG